RNAcentral lists this transfer RNA (85 nucleotides) under Felis catus (domestic cat). It matches the Rfam family "tRNA". From Rfam's summary of the family: Transfer RNA (tRNA) molecules are approximately 80 nucleotides in length. The record is from Rfam by way of RNAcentral. Lineage: Eukaryota; Metazoa; Chordata; Mammalia; Carnivora; Felidae.
GCCUGGGUGGCUCAGUUGGUUAAGCGUCUGACUUCAGCUCAGGUCAUGAUCUCAUGGUUCGUGGGUUCAAGCCCCACAUUAAGCU